RNAcentral lists this ribosomal RNA (498 nucleotides) under uncultured bacterium. Its description in RNAcentral is "partial 16S ribosomal RNA". It matches the Rfam family "Bacterial small subunit ribosomal RNA", at positions 29 to 523 of the family's 1533-position model. The record is from RNAcentral.
AUUGAACGCUGGCGGCAUGCUUUACACAUGCAAGUCGAACGGUAACAGGCCGCAAGGUGCUGACGAGUGGCGAACGGGUGAGUAAUGCAUCGGAACGUGCCCAGUCGUGGGGGAUAACGCAGCGAAAGCUGUGCUAAUACCGCAUACGAGCUAUGGAGGAAAGCGGGGGACCGUAAGGCCUCGCGCGAUUGGAGCGGGCGAUGUCAGAUUAGCUAGUUGGUGGGGUAAAGGCCCACCAAGGCGACGAUCUGUAGCUGGUCUGAGAGGACGACCAGCCACACUGGGACUGAGACACGGCCCAGACUCCUACGGGAGGCAGCAGUGGGGAAUUUUGGACAAUGGGCGCAAGCCUGAUCCAGCAAUGCCGCGUGCAGGAAGAAGGCCUUCGGGUUGUAAACUGCUUUCGUACGGAACGAAACGGCCUGGGUUAAUACCCUGGGCUAAUGACGGUACCGUAAGAAUAAGCACCGGCUAACUACGUGCCAGCCGCCGCCGUAA